This 169-nucleotide small nucleolar RNA is filed under the name Oryza sativa (Asian cultivated rice). RNAcentral's name for it is "box C/D snoRNA J51.1". The record is from RNAcentral. Lineage: Eukaryota; Viridiplantae; Streptophyta; Magnoliopsida; Poales; Poaceae.
UUUCUGAUGUUUUAAAUAUCAUGGGAAAUGUUAAUUGCGUUAAAAAUAGCAAAGUUGUUUGGAUUCAUUAUGUUCCUUUUGUUCUAUCGAUUCAGGUACUGAGGCUACCCCAAGGAAGAGAGCUGCCGUGGCCAACUAGAUCCGUUUUGCUAUGAAAGCAGCUAUGAAA